AUCCAUUUUCUCAGGCAGGGACUACAGGAAAUGAAGGUGAUCUUGUGGGGAUUUUGGAGAGAAUUUAAUGAAGAGGCUGUUUACCAAGGAUCUCUCUCUGUCUCCGAGGCUGGAGUGCAAUGGUGCAAUUAGGGCUCACUGCAGCCUCGACCUCCUGGGCCCAACUGAUCUUCCUACCACAGCCUCAUGAGUAACUGGGACUACAGAAGACCAUGGGCAUUUUUUCUAUGCAACUACAGAUAGUAUCCCAUGAUGUGAAUGGCCCUGGAUUUACUUACACAUCCUCCUUUUGAUGAGCAAAAAGUAAAUUUUUCACAGUGAUAGACAUUUGUAGUGCUUUUUAAAGGCACUGGUUCUGGUGGACACUGAGAGUCAAUUUUUAUUUGCUGCAUGUGGAAAGGACAACAACAUACCUGGACAGAAAUGCCUCAAGGAUGUACUGAAGGCCCCUGUCACUUUUCACAGCCAUAACUGUAAGUUUCCUGAGGCCUCUCCAGAAGCCAAGCCGAUGCCGCUAUGCUUCCUGAACAGCCCACAGAACUCUCCCAGUUGUGGGCAGAGUCUGGUUAAGGUACAGCCUUGGAAUUAU
RNAcentral lists this long non-coding RNA (589 nucleotides) under Pongo abelii (Sumatran orangutan). RNAcentral describes it as "lincRNA". Lineage: Eukaryota; Metazoa; Chordata; Mammalia; Primates; Hominidae. The record is from RNAcentral.